CCUACGGGGGGCAGCAGUGGGGAAUAUUGGACAAUGGGGGAAACCCUGAUCCAGCGACGCCGCGUGAGUGAAGAAGUAUUUCGGUAUGUAAAGCUCUAUCAGCAGGGAAGAAAAUGACGGUACCUGACUAAGAAGCCCCGGCUAACUACGUGCCAGCAGCCGCGGUAAUACGUAGGGGGCAAGCGUUAUCCGGAUUUACUGGGUGUAAAGGGAGCGUAGACGGCAGCACAAGUCUGAUGUGAAAUGUCGGGGCUUAACCCCAGAACUGCAUUGGAAACUGUACAGCUGGAGUGCAGGAGAGGUAAGUGGAAUUCCUAGUGUAGCGGUGAAAUGCGUAGAUAUUAGGAGGAACACCAGUGGCGAAGGCGGCUUACUGGACUGUAACUGACGUUGAGGCUCGAAAGCGUGGGGAGCAAACAGGAUUAGAUACCCCAGUAGUC
RNAcentral lists this ribosomal RNA (440 nucleotides) under uncultured bacterium. RNAcentral's name for it is "partial 16S ribosomal RNA". It matches the Rfam family "Bacterial small subunit ribosomal RNA", at positions 338 to 795 of the family's 1533-position model. The record is from RNAcentral.